GACGAACGCUGGCGGCAUGCCUAAUACAUGCAAGUCGAGCGAACAGAUGAAGUGCUUGCACUUUUGACGUUGGCGGCGAACGGGUGAGUAACACGUAAGGAAUCUACCUAUAAGCGGGGGAUAACAUUCGGAAACGGGUGCUAAUACCGCAUAAUAUCUUCUUCCGCAUGGAAGAAGAUUGAAAGACGGCUCUGCUGUACUUAUAGAUGACCUUGCGGUGCAUUAGUUAGUUGGUGGGGUAACGGCCUACCAAGACGAUGAUGCAUAGCCGACCUGAGAGGGUGAUCGGCCACAUUGGGACUGAGACACGGCCCAAACUCCUACGGGAGGCAGCAGUAGGGAAUCUUCCGCAAUGGGCGAAAGCCUGACGGAGCAAUGCCGCGUGAGUGAAGAAGGCCUUCGGGUCGUAAAACUCUGUUAUAAGAGAAGAACAAAUUGUAGAGUAACUGCUACAGUCUUGACGGUAUCUUAUCAGAAAGCCACGGCUAACUACGUGCCAGCCGCCGCCGUAA
RNAcentral lists this ribosomal RNA (512 nucleotides) under uncultured bacterium. RNAcentral's name for it is "partial 16S ribosomal RNA". It matches the Rfam family "Bacterial small subunit ribosomal RNA", at positions 28 to 523 of the family's 1533-position model. The record is from RNAcentral.